AACCUCAUUCAUAUACACCAAAAUAGAGGUUACAAGAGCCAUAAAGAGAAUAAAGCUCUCAUACAUCCAAUCUAUAAAAUAUAACUAAGUAAUCUAAUACAAAAUAAAGUCAGAGAGACAGGGCAUCGAGCAUAAGAUCUAGAUAGGUAAAGACAUGAUCAACCUCAUCCACGAUCGAAGGGUCUAGUCUGAGAAGAGGAUG
Molecule: long non-coding RNA, 202 nt
Filed under: Elaeis guineensis (African oil palm)
Lineage: Eukaryota; Viridiplantae; Streptophyta; Magnoliopsida; Arecales; Arecaceae
Description: long non-coding RNA (EGUI_LNC042570)
Source: RNAcentral